RNAcentral lists this non-coding RNA (77 nucleotides) under Desulfuromonadales bacterium. RNAcentral's name for it is "c-di-GMP sequence". It matches the Rfam family "c-di-GMP-I riboswitch aptamer". From Rfam's summary of the family: GEMM was predicted in a large-scale screen for bacterial structured RNA regulatory elements. Genes associated with GEMM are involved in a diverse array of functions, including chemotaxis regulation, signal transduction, secretion and chitin. Lineage: Bacteria; Pseudomonadati; Thermodesulfobacteriota; Desulfuromonadia; Desulfuromonadales. The record is from RNAcentral.
AACCGAUAAUACUAAACCAUCCGCGAGGAUGGGACGGAAAACCUAAAGGGUCUUUCAGAGACAGCCGGGUCGCCGAA